UACGAAGGGGGCUAGCGUUGUUCGGAAUUACUGGGCGUAAAGGGCGCGUAGGCGGCGUGUCAAGUCAGGCGUGAAAGCCCCGGGCUCAACCUGGGAACCGCGCUUGAGACUGGCAUGCUCGAGUUCGGGAGAGGAUGGUGGAAUUCCCGGUGUAGCGGUGAAAUGCGCAGAUAUCGGGAGGAACACCUAUGGCGAAGGCAGCUCGCUGGGACGUUACUGACGCUGAGACGCGAAAGCGUGGGGAGCAAACAGG
RNAcentral lists this ribosomal RNA (253 nucleotides) under uncultured bacterium. RNAcentral's name for it is "partial 16S ribosomal RNA". It matches the Rfam family "Bacterial small subunit ribosomal RNA", at positions 524 to 776 of the family's 1533-position model. The record is from RNAcentral.